Molecule: small RNA, 127 nt
Filed under: Marmota monax (woodchuck)
Lineage: Eukaryota; Metazoa; Chordata; Mammalia; Rodentia; Sciuridae
Source: RNAcentral
GCUGGGUGCAGUGGGGUACGCCUGUAGUCUCAGCAGCUCGGGAGGCAGAGGCAGGAGGAUUGUGAGUUCAAAGCCAGCCUUGGCAACUUAGUGAGGCCCUCAGCAAGCUGGUGAGACCCUGUCUCUA